AUACGUAGGGGGCGAGCGUUGUCCGGAAUGAUUGGGCGUAAAGGGCGCGUAGGCGGCCCGGUAAGUCUGGAGUGAAAGUCCUGUUUUUAAGAUGGGAAUUGCUUUGGAUACUGUCGGGCUUGAGUGCAGGAGAGGUAAGUGGAAUUCCCAGUGUAGCGGUGAAAUGCGUAGAGAUUGGGAGGAACACCAGUGGCGAAGGCGACUGACUGGACUGUAACUGACGCUGAGGCGCGAAAGUGUGGGGAGCAAACAGGAUUAGAUACCCUGGUAGUCCGCACGGUAAACGAUGAUUACCCGCUGUCGGCGGCAGACAGUCGGCGGCCAAGCGAAAGCGAUAAGUAAUCCACCUGGGGAGUACGCCGGCAACGGUGAAACUCAAAGGAAUUGGCGGGG
RNAcentral lists this ribosomal RNA (393 nucleotides) under uncultured bacterium. RNAcentral describes it as "partial 16S ribosomal RNA". It matches the Rfam family "Bacterial small subunit ribosomal RNA", at positions 523 to 918 of the family's 1533-position model. The record is from RNAcentral.